This 179-nucleotide ribosomal RNA is filed under the name Salmonella enterica subsp. enterica serovar Schwarzengrund. RNAcentral's name for it is "partial 23S ribosomal RNA". It matches the Rfam family "Bacterial large subunit ribosomal RNA", at positions 1 to 171 of the family's 2925-position model. Lineage: Bacteria; Pseudomonadati; Pseudomonadota; Gammaproteobacteria; Enterobacterales; Enterobacteriaceae. The record is from RNAcentral.
GGGUUGUGAGGUUAAGCGACUAAGCGUACACGGUGGAUGCCCUGGCAGUCAGAGGCGAUGAAGGGCGUGCUAAUCUGCGAUAAGCGCCGGUAAGGUGAUAUGAACCGUUAUAACCGGCGAUACCCGAAUGGGGAAACCCAGUGUGCUUCGACACAAUAUCAUUAACUGAAUCCAUAGGU